UGUUUUGUGGCUCAGUUGGUUAAAGCGCUGAUCUAUUAAAUUCAGACUCGUGGGUUCGAGCCCCAACAAAACGC
Molecule: non-coding RNA, 74 nt
Organism: Aedes albopictus (Asian tiger mosquito)
Lineage: Eukaryota; Metazoa; Arthropoda; Insecta; Diptera; Culicidae
Source: Rfam